This 274-nucleotide ribosomal RNA is filed under the name uncultured bacterium. RNAcentral's name for it is "partial 16S ribosomal RNA". It matches the Rfam family "Bacterial small subunit ribosomal RNA", at positions 523 to 796 of the family's 1533-position model. The record is from RNAcentral.
AUACGGAGGGUGCGAGCGUUAAUCGGAAUUACUGGGCGUAAAGCGCGCGUAGGCGGACUGAUCAGUUGGGGGUGAAAUCCCAGGGCUUAACCCUGGAACUGCCUCCAAUACUGUCAGUCUUGAGUUCGGGAGAGGUGAGUGGAAUUCCUAGUGUAGAGGUGAAAUUCGUAGAUAUUAGGAAGAACACCAGUGGCGAAGGCGGCUCACUGGCCCGAUACUGACGCUGAGGCGCGAAAGCGUGGGGAGCAAACAGGAUUAGAAACCCCGGUAGUCC